UACGUAGGCAGCAAGCGUUGUUCGGAAUUACUGGGCGUAAAGAGUGUGUAGGCGGUGUUCUAAGUCUGUUGUGAAAUCUCCCGGCUUAACUGGGAGGGUGCGGCGGAAACUGGAAUGCUAGAGGAUGGGAGAGGUAAGCGGAAUUCCUGGUGUAGCGGUGAAAUGCGUAGAUAUCAGGAGGAACACCUGUGGUGCAAACGGCUUUCUGGACCGUAACUGACGCUGAGACACGAAAGCGUGGGGAGCAAACAGG
Molecule: ribosomal RNA, 253 nt
Filed under: uncultured bacterium
Lineage: Bacteria
Description: partial 16S ribosomal RNA
Rfam family: Bacterial small subunit ribosomal RNA
Source: RNAcentral